GCCCUUAAGGGCAAGGAACUUAGCCAAAAGAAUAGUAAAGGAAUGUGUCACUUGUACUAGAAUUAAAGGUCGAGGCAGUCCUAAAUUCUCGUCCUCUGUCACCCAUGUCCUCUGUCACCCAUGUCCUCUGAUCCUCAAGACCUUCUUCCCCUCACACCUGCUCAAUUCCUGAUCGGACGCACGCUGAUGGCCACGGCGAGCGACGACAUGAUGGCAGUACCAGCAUCCCAGCUGACUCGCUACACCAAGCUUGAACAACUAAGACAACACUUCUGGCAGCGCUGGUCUCGAGAGUACGUGACGGAGCUGCAGCAGAGGACUAAAUGGUAACCAGCCAGACAUGAGGCUGGAUACGUUGGUGAUCAUCAAGGAGGAUAAUUAGCCGCCUCUGCGGUGGAAAAUGGGCCGCAUCGUCAAAACAUUUCCUGGCCCUGACGGAGUAUCACGUGUCGCUGACAUUCGCACUGCUACGGGCAUUGUACGUCGUGCAUUCUCCAAGAUCUGCCCAUUACCGUUACCAGAGGAGCAGGAAGGUGCU
Long non-coding RNA from Aricia agestis (brown argus), 538 nucleotides. RefSeq lists it as uncharacterized. The record is from RefSeq and is a predicted model, not a curated record. The transcript has 2 exons. Lineage: Eukaryota; Metazoa; Arthropoda; Insecta; Lepidoptera; Lycaenidae.